Pezoporus occidentalis (night parrot) is the source of this 1939-nucleotide long non-coding RNA. RefSeq lists it as uncharacterized. The transcript has 4 exons. The record is from RefSeq and is a predicted model, not a curated record. Lineage: Eukaryota; Metazoa; Chordata; Aves; Psittaciformes; Psittacidae.
CCUAGGGCAGUAGCAGAGCUUGCUCCCUCAAUGCCACAGCAAUGUCACCACACUCCACUUGCCAACCCUGCUAGCUGCUGGCUGGACAUCCCAGCCCAUGAAACCCCUGGCUUAUUCCUGGAGAACACAAGUGAAAUAAUGGAGAUGCAGUGCCCAAGACCCACAGUCUGGGAGCAAAGGCCCAGGCAUCUCUCCUUGAGAGAGAUUUCAUGGACCAAACUGUUCAGUGGAAAAAGUUUGGGAAAUAAUAGCUUUGAAGUCAAUGGGAUUGAUUUACACCAUCCUGUGGCCUUACUUCUAACCCAAACAUCACAAAAAAUAGCUACCUAGAGGGUCCGAGCUCUUUUUUUAAAAGGCUGAUCAACUGUUAUUACUGGAAAAAGCAAACAAAGGCUCAAGGGCACAAGGACAUCUUCGGCCUUCUAGGUCUGAAACCUUUCUUUCAUUUCUCUCAUUUUUUCCAAUAAAUAAUUCCAAUGUCUGAAACAUUAAAAAUAUAAAACAUUUAAAUAAUAACACUUUAGCUGUAAAUAAAAUUAUGUAUGGUGUGCAUGGCAUAUGCAGUAUGUAAUCUAUUAUAAUAGAAUAUAUAGAAUAUUUAUGAAUAUGGAAUUAAAUUAUAAACACAAAAUAUUAUUUAAAUUUAUAUUAUUAGAAAAGAAACAUUCUUUAAAAAAAUAUAUACAAAAAUAGUCCCCACGUUAAAACUUUUCUCUCUGCACCAAAAUGCUUUGAAAACUCUGGGGUCCGAAGCUGAGGAGUGUCCAUCAACAAUCUCCUUUGAAGCUGCUGAGAACAGAGGACACUUGAAUCCUGGUGUCUGUGUGGAGGAAAGUGUGCCAUAGAGGCUUCAAAAGAGAAGGACCUCGCUGAAGAUGACUCCACCAGCACACAAUCCACCAAUCCAUCACCUCCCAGAAUCCCACAUGAGAAGGGUUUCUGAUCCAGGGGCACCAUGGUAAUGCUUUCUCCACUGAGAACUGUGAAUCCCAAAUUUCUCCCUCAUGGACAAGCAUGAGAAUGCGCAGAAACCCAGGCUAGGACACAGCAAACGAAGGGUAGCACAAUGACUGCACACCAUAACUUCAAAGGGAUCUCAUGGGGCUGAACCACUGCGAGAGGAGCACCCAAGUCCAUGGAUGGUGAAAAUGUCCAAGGACAGGGAAUGCAGGAGCCUGAGCAGAGAACUGGAGGAGGAGGGGAUCUGCAGCAGAUAUUCACAGACAGUCAGCAAAGGAAAGCAGCAGCUUAGGAGAUUGCAUCUCUCCAGGAGCCUGCAGGAGCCAGCUGCCAAAGACAGCCCCACAGAGCCGGAACUGGCCUUUGGGUAGAGCAGGUGUUUUGAUUUGGGGUCCACGACAGCCAGGACACAACUAAGCUGAAUCUGAAUGUAAUAAGCUUGUAAAAUACAGAGCAAGGACACUGGAAGUGUAAGUGCUGAAGGACAAGUCCCAGUCCUUCCUACUGAAUCACCCUGCGAAAGCGUGGGUCCCUCACACCCUCCCAGUCUGCAGAACUCCCAGUUACUGGGAUCUCAGGGAUUGUUUUUGUGGAAGGUCAAGGGCACCAGCUACGCAGAUCAUUUGGGCCCCAAACCUGAACAUUCUCUGUGUCAUACAAAGGACAUGGUUCAACACCUUGGUGAGGACAAAUCGAUAGAGAUUGGUGGCAACAGUAAUGAGGGGUGGAUUUGGGGUCUCUAACAUAGGACAAAAAGUCAGCAGUCAUGCAAAUGCCAAUGAGCUGGGUGAGUCUAAAGGAAGAGGGGUUGUUGUAGUCACCCUGUUUUGGGGAGGGACAAGGUUCCAAGGCCUUGGGGAUGUCUUUACCCCUCUCUGUAAUGGGCUGUCACAUAAUUUUUUAAAAUUAUUUAUCCUUGAAAGAUUGACCAUUUUAGCCCUCAAUUCUUUAAAACAGACGGGAAGACUGUGGCAGUGUC